CAAUACAUAUAAAGAAAGAAUUUCUUAUAUAAAGACAAAGGCAAACUUCAUUCAUUGAUAAAGAAAGAUAUAUUACAUAAUCAAGUCCCAAAAAGAGCAUUCAUUGAGUCCAAAAAUAAAUUUGACUACUGCAUAAAAUAUUUGACAUCAAAAUGCUCAAAAUGCAACUACAUGCAUUCUAUAAACCACGUAAUCUAUGGU
Molecule: long non-coding RNA, 201 nt
Filed under: Elaeis guineensis (African oil palm)
Lineage: Eukaryota; Viridiplantae; Streptophyta; Magnoliopsida; Arecales; Arecaceae
Description: long non-coding RNA (EGUI_LNC019913)
Source: RNAcentral